This 352-nucleotide transfer-messenger RNA is filed under the name Chloroflexota bacterium. It matches the Rfam family "transfer-messenger RNA". From Rfam's summary of the family: Bacterial tmRNA, also known as 10Sa RNA or SsrA, is named for its dual tRNA and mRNA-like properties. Its role is to liberate the mRNA from a stalled ribosome. The record is from RNAcentral. Lineage: Bacteria; Bacillati; Chloroflexota.
GGGGACGAAAGGGCUCGACAGGGAUUGGCGGAUCUGAGUUGCAGGCGGAGGACGGCCAUCUCCCUCCUUAAUCCGGUGGUCAACCAAUAAACGGCGAACCACAACUCGCCCUCGCUGCUUAGGCAGUGACGUUCACUCCCGUCCCACCCCGGCGGACGGGAGAUGAGCGACGAUCAGCCGGGGUGCUGCGCACCUGACGCCGAUGGGGUGCGCCCAAGAUCAUCUGGCUGGCCCCGUCCGGACGGGCCCGCAGCGGACGGCGGGGCGAGACCUAACUGCCGGGAUACGCCUGUAGCAGACUCAGGGCGUCGACCGCCUGGACGGGGAGUUCGAUUCUCCCCCGUCUCCACCA